UAGGGGCGGGGAUUGUCGAUCUGGGAUCUGGACUGAAGUCUUAGCCGGUGGCCACAUUGCCGGGGAGGGGAUUUGGGAGGCACGGAGCCAAGGGGGGGAGCGAGUCAAGGCCGGCCAAGGAGGUCACGCACAGCGCUGGGAGUCGAAGCCGUCCCCAGUGAUGGAAGAAGAGAUGAUUCUUAUCACUGGAGAUGGCACGGACUUGAGCCUGCAUAAACAAAUCUUACUACACAACCCUUAUCUUUGAUAAACUUCCCCCAUAUAUCUACCUUCCUACAAUUUAUGACUUCUAGAAGCCCAAUCCCCUUUUCCUUUGUCUUGUCUCUGGUCCACAAUGUCACCCUUUGUUAAAAUGGCUUAUAAGCUCUCAAGCCUAAAUGUUUCUUUGGGUUUUCACAUCUUUUCUGUGAGGCCCCAUGUACAUGCAUAAUAAAUCUUUUCUGUUAA
This is a long non-coding RNA of Leopardus geoffroyi (Geoffroy's cat), 447 nucleotides long. RefSeq lists it as uncharacterized. The record is from RefSeq and is a predicted model, not a curated record. Lineage: Eukaryota; Metazoa; Chordata; Mammalia; Carnivora; Felidae. The transcript has 2 exons.